GUCUUCUUCCUCUUCUUCUUCUUUGUUUU
RNAcentral lists this small RNA (29 nucleotides) under Arabidopsis thaliana (thale cress). RNAcentral's name for it is "ATSL185040". Lineage: Eukaryota; Viridiplantae; Streptophyta; Magnoliopsida; Brassicales; Brassicaceae. The record is from RNAcentral.